UGAAGUUCUCCUAAUGCAGUCCUAUAUAUAUUAAAUUCACCACAGAUAGGCAAUGGCCCCUCCAUCAGACUUCUGACGUCAACUAAUUCCUCUCAUACCAGUCUUCAUUCUAAUUUUCUGUUAGAAGCAUACACACAAGUGAUAUGGCAUUCAAAAUCAUUUAAUUGGGCCUAAAAUCUAAACCCUAUACCUUAGAAACUAAACCUGAAACCUUAACCUUAGGGCCUAAAUCUCAAAUCCUAAACCUUACAACAUCAACCCUAAACCCUAAACCUACGUGCCUAACCUAAACCCUAAUUUCUAAACCUUAAACCUUAGGGCCUAAACCCUAAACUCGAAACCCUAUACCCUAAACUCUAAAACUUAGGUCCUAAACCCUAAACCUAGUGCCUAAACCCUAAACUAUAAACCUAAUGGCCUAAACCCUAAACCCUAAACCUUAGGACCUAGACCCUAAAGCCUAAAAUAUAUACUCUAAACUCUAAACCUUAGACUUUAAUCACUAAACCAUAAACCAUAAGCCUUAAACCCUAAAGCAUAAAGCAUAAAAUCUAAACCUUAGGUCCUAAAUCUCAAAUCCUAAACCUUACAACAUCA
This 597-nucleotide long non-coding RNA is filed under the name Solanum tuberosum (potato). Its description in RNAcentral is "long non-coding RNA (STUB_LNC001501)". The record is from RNAcentral. Lineage: Eukaryota; Viridiplantae; Streptophyta; Magnoliopsida; Solanales; Solanaceae.